GACGAACGCUGGCGGCGUGCUUAACACAUGCAAGUCGAACGGUGAACCCCUUCGGGGGAGAUCAGUGGCGAACGGGUGAGUAACACGUGAGCAACCUGCCCCUGACUCUGGGAUAACUCCGGGAAACCGGAGCUAAUACCGGAUAUGACACCUUCGGGCAUCCGAUGGGUGUGGAAAGAUUUAUCGGUUGGGGAUGGGCUCGCGGCCUAUCAGCUUGUUGGUGGGGUGAUGGCCACCAAGGCGACGACGGGUAGCCGGCCUGAGAGGGCGACCGGCCACACUGGGACUGAGACACGGCCCAGACUCCUACGGGAGGCAGCAGUGGGGAAUAUUGCGCAAUGGGCGAAAGCCUGACGCAGCGACGCCGCGUGAGGAAUGAAGGCCU
RNAcentral lists this ribosomal RNA (385 nucleotides) under uncultured bacterium. RNAcentral's name for it is "bacterial SSU rRNA". It matches the Rfam family "Bacterial small subunit ribosomal RNA", at positions 28 to 417 of the family's 1533-position model. The record is from RNAcentral.